RNAcentral lists this ribosomal RNA (547 nucleotides) under uncultured bacterium. Its description in RNAcentral is "bacterial SSU rRNA". It matches the Rfam family "Bacterial small subunit ribosomal RNA", at positions 72 to 618 of the family's 1533-position model. The record is from RNAcentral.
CACGGUAGCAAUACUGGUGGCGACCGGCGCACGGGUGCGUAACACGUAUAUAAUCUGCCUUUAACAGGGGGAUAGCCCGGAGAAAUCCGGAUUAAUACCCCAUAACAAUGAGAAUGGCAUCAUUUUCAUUUAAAAGCUCCGGCGGUUAAAGAUGAAUAUGCGACUGAUUAGCUAGUUGGUAGUGUAACGGACUACCAAGGCGACGAUCAGUAGGGGAUCUGAGAGGAGUACCCCCCACACGGAUACUGAGACACGGAUCCGACUCCUACGGGAGGCAGCAGUAAGGAAUAUUGGACAAUGCCCGCAAGGGUGAUCCAGCCAUGCCGCGUGCAGGAAGACGGCCCUAUGGGUUGUAAACUGCUUUUGUACCGGAGAAAACCUCCCCUCGUGAGGGGAGCUGAUAGUAUGGUAAGAAUAAGCAUCGGCUAACUUCGUGCCAGCAGCCGCGGUAAGACGAAGGAUGCAAGCGUUAUCCGGAUUCAUUGGGUUUAAAGGGAGCGUAGGCGGUUUGGUAAGUCAGUGGUGAAAUCUCUCAGCUUAACUGAGA